GGGCGCUUAGCUCAGUUGGUUAGAGCGAUUGGUUUACAUCCAAUAGGUCAGAGGUUCGAGCCCUCUAGCGCCCACCA
This 77-nucleotide transfer RNA is filed under the name bacterium. RNAcentral's name for it is "tRNA-Val". It matches the Rfam family "tRNA". Rfam says of the family: Transfer RNA (tRNA) molecules are approximately 80 nucleotides in length. Their secondary structure includes four short double-helical elements and three loops (D, anti-codon, and T loops). The record is from RNAcentral.